RNAcentral lists this transfer RNA (77 nucleotides) under Deltaproteobacteria bacterium. Its description in RNAcentral is "tRNA-Pro". It matches the Rfam family "tRNA". From Rfam's summary of the family: Transfer RNA (tRNA) molecules are approximately 80 nucleotides in length. The record is from RNAcentral. Lineage: Bacteria; Pseudomonadati; Myxococcota; Myxococcia.
CGGGGCGUAGCGCAGCUUGGUAGCGCGCACGGUUCGGGACCGUGAGGUCGGAGGUUCGAAUCCUCUCGCCCCGACUA